UUCAGUAAGUAACUUAAUGACUGGAUGUAAGUUGGUGAUCGGGUGAGGAGGUGAGAUAACAAGAUGUAGAGCUGGAUGAACACAGCAGGCCAAGCAGCAUCAGAGGAGCAGGAAAGCUGACGUUUCAGGCCGAGACCCUUCUUCAGAUAUGGUUUUGAUCUGAUCAUCCCUUAAACUUCUAAAUUCUGGAGAAAACGGACUGAAUUUCUAUAACCUGACAAAUGUGGGGUCAUUGCAUGAGAAAUCAGGAACUCCCAUGAGUUGUCGAGCAGUUCCAUGGAGGUGAGGAAUGAUGACUACACUGCUUCCAAGAUUGGAAUGUCACACUCUGCCAAAAUGCUCCAUUUAGCAGCUCCAUCUUGAACUGAUAUAGUUCACUCUCAGAAGUGUCAGUGAGACUGCCUGCCAGACCUCAAUCCGAGACCAUCUGUUUACAAAUAUCAGGGUUUCCAGGUUACCCGAAAGAGGGAUGGAUGUCUUAAAUAAAGAGCCCAGUGUUCAGAGUCAGCAUGAGAGCUUCAUAUUUAAUGAACCGCAGUGAAAUGUUGAGUUGUUGUAAAUCACCAGCUUCAUUUCAUUGAGGAAAGUGAAGCCAGCAUAGUCCCACUCUCUGAUGGGGAGUUUAACCUGAUGGAUACCACAUCUCAGCUGAAGGAUGAGGUCUUCAUGGUAUCCUCACCACCAGCAGGAACUGACCAUGUGCUGUUGGGUAUCCAUUUACAUUCCAAACCAGCUGUCCAGCCAACUGAGCUGACCAACCCCACUGAGCUGACUGCCUUUUGAUAUAACAUCGGAUUUAACAUGUGCUUUUCGGAAACUUGUUUGCGGUUUAUAUCAUCUGUCACCGCGCAUGCAGUUUCUCCAAAACGACGACCAUUUAUUUAACUGCACUGGCUAUUUCAGACACCAUCUGCCUAAUCUGGGCUGCCAUCUUGAAUCUAGCAAAGCUGUGGCUGGGCCCGAAUGCCAGCUGGGUCUACACCCCUUGGUGGUGCCUAUCCAUCAUUUUGGAAUACGGCGCCAUUCUUUGCUCGGUCUGGAUUAUUAUGGCCUUCACUAUCGAAAGGUACAUCGUUAUAUCCAACAAGGGGCUGAAGCACCACACAACUAAGCCAAAGAAUGCCAUUUGCGCUGUUGUGGCAGCCGUGGGCCUUUCUUACACAUCAGCAUUCAUUGCUUUUCUUUUGAAUAAAUUUUCCAGAAGGUCGGUGAUGGUAAGCAGAUCCGUUUUAAUGAAUUACACUGGAGAAUGUGCCAUGUUCAACAACACAUACUUUCCCACAGCUAUUUGGCUGCACACAAUUAUAUCAGGUGGUGUUCCUUAUCUAUUGAUCCUCGUCUUCAGUGUGCUGAUAGCCUGCCGGUUACACACAAAAACCAAGAUUCAUCCGGAAUUUGAGAACACUGCAUUCAGAAUCACCAGAAUAAAAAUCAAGAAGUCACUUCAGAUAUUGCUCGUUGUUUCAUUCACUGCUGUUGCUCUCGGUCUGCCCCGGUUCGUUUCAGAGUGUUUACCACAUUCCUUGGGUGGUGUGAAUUAUUUUGAUUACAGCACAAUUACAAAUGUGGUACCAGACAUCUUGUUUAUGCUCCAAUGGUUUAAUUCUGCCAUAAACUUCUGGCUCUUUAGUUCUGCAUCGUCUGCCUUUCGGCAGGAGUGUGUGGCUAUUCUCACCAGACAUAUCUGUAGGAAACAAGAUUCAAUGGCUGUGGGUACAGUACCUAUUGACACCUUAAAGACAGUGUUCAGAAGUAAUUACUGCUGUGCAGAAUGAACAUGUUACCAGGAGCUUAAACUAAUCAACAGAGGAGCUCGAGACCCAAGUUUUCUGAGUUACCGAACAGUUGGAACUCGAUUUGCAAUGUGUAUAACUGGCAUUGAUUUGAAGCAAGGUACAGUCUUUUUAUCGUUGAUUCCAAUUUGUACCAUUUAUAUGAACUAUUCAAUGUAAAAGUUUGAAAAUGCAUUAAUUUCAGUUGGAGGGUUCCAGUGGUUAGCUCAAGGCCUUUCAUCUCUAGGAUCAAGAUACAGAACCAGCCCCUGUUUUCUUUCUCGAAUGACUGUAAUUCUGUCGAAAGAAACAUGAUUUGCCAGUUAGAGCCCAGUUCCUCUCAGCAAAAAACCUUUACCACAAAAAUAACCUCAAUUUCACAGAAUCUCAGAAUAGUUCUGGUGCAGAAAGAGGCCGUUCGGUCCAUUGUGCCCGCACCAGCUCGUUAAUUGAACCUCAUUACCUUGUGCCAAUCUCCUCAUCCCUGGCAUAUUAUUUCUAUCCAAAUAAUCAUCCAAUGCCCCUCUUGAGCGCCUCAACUGAACCUGCAUCCAUCACAUUUCCAGGCAGUGCAUUCCAGACCCUGACUGCUCGCUGUGUGAAAAACUCUUUCCUCUUCACCUUGGCUUUUAUUGCACAGUACUUUAUAUCUAUGUCCUCUUGUUACAAAGCAGGAGCAGCUUCUCCUUAUCUACUCUAUCCAGUCACAUGUGAUUUUGGAAACCACUAUCAAAUCUCCUCUCUGCCUUCCUUUCUGCAGGGAGAACAGUCUCAGCUUCUUCAAUCUAUCCCCAUCAAUGAAGAUUCUAAUUCCUGGACCCAUUCUUGCAAAUUGCUUCUGCACGCUCUCCAAUGCAUUCAGAUCCUUCCUAUAGUGUGGUAUCCAGUAUUUUUACAUAAUAUUCCAGCUGCGAUCCAAUUAAAAAUCUGGGGCUAAACAGACCACUUCAUUUAUACUGAUAUAGACAAUGGUAAAAUGUCACAAUGAAGAUUGAAGGGGUAGAAUUGAGAGUUGGAUUGAUGCAGAUUAUUUGGGAUACGGGAAGUUUGGCUUUGUCCCUAACAUGACCAGGGAUGCCUGUUGUUGAUACUAAUACCUGCUGUACUCUCCAGCACCAUCUACUCUCCACCUUGAAUUGUACAAAUCAUUCAUUAAAAACUGCAGUUGAAGCUCUCUUCUAGCACAUUACUGGAAUCAGGGGUAUGCGUUUGAAAGGUUUUGGCGUGGAUGGUUGCCACAGACCAAAGCUUGGCUUUGCUGAAGGCUUGCUCAAUGAACCUGACUUCCAAUGUGUGUGAUAAACACAAAACCAUCGAGAUGGUAGGCGCUGUGGAAACAUCGGUCAGCGAGUGGCCAUUAGGAAGAUCCUGAACGCCUCUCUGGUGCUGACCAACACAACAAUGAGCCGACACAAACUCAAAAUCACUUUAAAUACAACAGCUUCAUUAUUGUCAAUGACAUUCUGAAACAUCCAGACUCCCAGAAUUCCAUUUAGGAAAAGAAAACAAAUGAAAGGCAUACUGGCAUUGGAGGCAGUCCAAUGAAGGUUCACUCAUCUAAUCCUGGGUUUGGAGGGACUGUCUUAUAUGAAGAGAUUGAGUAGGUUGUGCCUGUAAUUAUUGGAGUUUAGAAAAGUGAGCAGCGACCUUGUUGAAACAUCCAAGAUUCUUAGGAAACUUGACAAGGUAGAUGCAGAGAGAUUGUUUCCCCAUGUAGGAGAGUCUAGGACCACAGGACAUCACCUCAGAAUAAGAGACCAUCCAUUUAAGGCAGCGAUGAGGAUUUUUUAUCUCUCUCAGAGGGUAGUGGAUUCUUUGUUAGGGAUGGGCCAUUAAGUACAUUUAAGGCAGAGAGAGACAGAUUUUUAAUCAGUAAGGGAAUCAAGGAUUGGGGAAAAGACAGGAAAAUGAAGUUAGGGAUUACCAGAUCAGCCAUGAUCUUACUGGAUGACACAGCGGACCUGAUGGGCUCAAUGGCCUACUUUUGCUUCUAGAUCUUAGAGUUUGAUGGGGAAUAUUCAUUCUGAGGUAAACAUCUACUUCCAUAAUUUUGUAGCAAGGGUUGUAUAUUCAGUUGAAAUGCAGCACAAAGUGUACAUCAGCAUCAUUGAUGCAAAAUACCUGCCUGGCGGUGAUGGGAAGGUUUCUGUCUGUUUUGACCCUGAGAGUAAUGCAAACGGCAGUAUAACUUCUGACAAGGGCUGCCCAGUCCAGAUAAGUUGAAAGUAAUAGCCAGUUAAGCAACCCACUCAUAUGGAAAUAAUCCAGAGACAAGACGUAUCUGUCACAGACUUAUAAAUAUAAAUUUCAGUCAAGGCAAAUCAUGAUCUGUUUAAUGUAAAGAAAGCAGCAAAAGUGUGGGUUAAUUGCUUCAUGCACCAUCGAACACAGGAGAAUGGAACUGACAACUUGCAUAAUACAAGUGAGAGACAGCAUCGAUGGUGUAUAAGUUAUGAAAACAAUAUGUUUUAUUUGUGGCAUUUGUUAUGUUAUAGAUAUUAGGUAGUCACCAACUGUAGUAGAAUCUGUUCAUCUGAAUAAAACAGCACAUUGUUUUGUUUUUCAGUCCUUGGCUCAGUGUUAAAAAUCUGUUGAUCAUUGCCUGUGAGCUUAUUGAAUAAUAAGUGAAUUUAUUUAUCACUAAAAACGUGUUUCAAUGUUGACAAGACAAAAUAAAGCUUGGUGUUUA
This is an RNA transcript of Rhincodon typus (whale shark), 4461 nucleotides long. It is a transcript of the gene named probable G-protein coupled receptor 139, with no coding region annotated. The record is from RefSeq and is a predicted model, not a curated record. NCBI's taxonomy places the organism in Eukaryota, Metazoa, Chordata, Chondrichthyes, Orectolobiformes, Rhincodontidae. The transcript has 4 exons.